Non-coding RNA from Pristionchus pacificus, 59 nucleotides. The record is from Rfam. NCBI's taxonomy places the organism in Eukaryota, Metazoa, Nematoda, Chromadorea, Rhabditida, Neodiplogasteridae.
UCUUCAUUUCCCACACUCUCUCACCGGUCAGACGCGAGAGAGUGUGUGAAAUGAAGAGA